Molecule: RNA transcript, 3264 nt
Organism: Tripterygium wilfordii
Lineage: Eukaryota; Viridiplantae; Streptophyta; Magnoliopsida; Celastrales; Celastraceae
Gene name: protein prenyltransferase alpha subunit repeat-containing protein 1
Exons: 11
Source: RefSeq, a predicted model, not a curated record
CCUUUUCUCAGAACUUUCAGAGCGCCAGUAAUUCUGAAUCCAACUGUUUUGGACCCUUCACUGCCGGAUUGAUUGGGAGAUCAAAAGAUGAGAGAAGCAGAGUCAAUUCGCGAAGGGAAGGCUUUCGAUCUGUUACAGAAAUUCGAAUACAUACUGGAAUCGGAUCCUUUGAUUGAGGAAGUAGGGUUUCUCCACCCAUCCCAGUUUGUUACACUAGCCAAAGAGGGAGAUGAUAAUCUCGAUCAUGGCAGUGAAACGCUUGAUUACUUUUGGAUUAGGGAUCAUAAAUUGGGCAUUUCAACCGCAGUGCUUCUUCCGUUAUACAAUGCCGCCAAAUGUGCAUUUACUGCUGCAGCUAUGCAAUACAAGAGGAUGAUCGAGGAUUUCUCUUGUUCGGCUGGAGUUGAAGCUGCACAGUCUAGCUUUUCAUCUUCCUGUGGUAGUUUCGAGAGUGAAGUAAUGAAGCACAGCCGAGUUCUUUUGCUUUUAAGCUCUGAUUUUGGCACUGCAUGGAAUUCCAGAAAGCUAGUUGUGUCAAAGAAGCAGUCCAUCUCAACGUUUAUUGAUGAGCUUCUUUUGUCUGCCCUGGUCCUCUCCUAUUCUCCUAAAAGCGAGCAUGCCUGGUGCCAUAGGCGGUGGGUGAUCAAGAUUAUUGCUGGAAAAUGCCCCACUUUCCAGGAGGUCUUGGAAAACGAAUCUGAGCUAGUGGAAAAAAUAGCCGAGAAAUCAAAGAUGAAUUAUCGUGCGUGGAACCACCGUUGUUGGAUAGUUUCCUACAUGACAAAGGAAUUGGUGCUAUGUGAGUUGCUGAAAUCGAGAGAUUGGGCUGCACUGCAUGUUGCUGAUAAUUCUUGCUUUCACUAUCGCAGGCGACUAAUGCAUAGGAUGGUGGAGGACUCCUGUCAUGAGAAGGAAGAUAAAUCUUCUGGUCACAAUGAUGAGAUAUGUCGAAUGUGGAAGGAGGAGCUUGAUUGGAACGAACUACUGAUAAAGCGGUAUGUUGGAAGAGAGGCUUUAUGGAUCCAUCGCCGCUUUGUCUCCAUAUGUUGGAUAAACCAUUUUGCUGCUAAUCUUAGUGGCAAAUCAUGCCUUUCAAGGGAUAAUUUAUGCAUAAACAACAGCAUAUGUACUUUUUUGGAUAAUGAGAUAUGUCUCCUAUACACCUGCUCAACAAUUUUGGAUAGUGACUUUGAAGAUUUUGAAGCACAAGCAGUUUAUGCCGUUACUUACAUGUUAUGGCUGACAAAGCAAAUCCCUGAAUCCCAAGGAUCUGAAGUAUUAAAGAAGUUACAAGCAGGGCAGACAAAGACAAUGCUGAAUGAGGCUUGCUCUGAGAAGCCCUUCCUUCAUGAUUUUUUGUAAGGGUAUGUUGGAGCGUGACAGCUCUAUGGGAUUUGGGGAUAAGUGGAUAACUGACACCAUCUUUGGGAGAACUUUGAAAGCAGAUGGAGGAAAACAUGACACCUAUUGAUCUGUUCAAAUUUUUAGAAGUUAAAAUGAGAAUAGAGUAAAGCAUGUGGUGAGCUUUCUCUUUCUCUCCGUAGGCUUGUAUUUGGUGGCAAUUUCACAUUUUUUGUUCUCUUAUAUGGAGAACAUGUCCAUGUUUGUGUUUGUCGAGUAGUCCUUGCUAUCUGCCUUGUCUUCAUCAUAUUCAUUAAUCAAACUCAAACAUUAUGGAUCAACUUCUCUGAGGUUUUUCCUUUCUGGGUUUUUUCCUACAAGAAUUUGAUUACGAAAUUCUUUGUAUCACAACAUAUCAGGUUAAAACUUGUUUCUUCGGAAAGGAAACGUCCCUUUCAAUUUUAGUGGUAACUACUUGAGACCUGAUCUAAAUUGGGCACUGAGAACAAAACUUAAGAUUUGCAUUCAGAGGAUGGCUUAGGCUUGUGAAAUGUUAAUACACUAGAGCUUCCCUCAUUCUAACGAAGGGCAAUGACUUGCAGAAAUAUUUGAUGAGGCAUGGUUGAGCCGUUGAGGUGCUACUUAUAUAAUGGAUACCUAACAAAUCCAUAUGUGUGAUGAUGAAUUGAAUUACUUGCUGUAUUACUAAUGUUGCUUUAUCAGUCAUGUUCUUAUUAUUGUGCCAAUCUUGCUCCAAUUUUUGUAGCUCAUUGCAAUGUGUCAUUGCAUUUCUCAAAUCUUGAUGUGUGUAAUUCUCUCUAAUGAAUUUGUUAUCCCCUUGUCAGCGUCCAAUUUUUGUGGGUUAGCUCAUGCUGACAGAGUUACUCAAGCAAAACAUUUCCCGAAGGUGGGUUGAUUUUUCACUCAAUAUAAAUGAAAGUUGAGGGUAUAAAGUGCAAAUGGGCUGCCCUACUCAAAGCUAUUUUAGCUCCAAUAAAUACAAUGAUAUAGUCUAUGCAUGGAGAGAGGUAAGUUGUCUUUCUUUCUCCCUGAAGUCCAAGCUUUCUUGAUUUAUAUUUGUGGAAUGUUUUGCUUCCUUGUUUGUGUUGUUGCUUUAAAAAGUUGAGACAUCUUUCAUUAGUGGUGGCGGUACAAAAAUGGUGUGUACUAAGCAAGAGAAUGAUGUAGGCAAUUUUUUAAAAGAACAAAUUAUAGAGAGCUUUGAAACAGGAAGUUACGUGGGAUUGUUCAUUUUUUUUAUUGCUGUUGAUUGGCCAUGGGCAUUCUUUUUGGUUUGAUCUGAUUUUAGCCUAUGAUUUUCUUUUCCUCAUGAUUUUGGCUCUCCCAUAAUUUUUUGAGGCUAGAUUCAGAUGCUUCCCUUUGAACCUUUCCAUGAGCUUCUGUGUUGGUGCUUUUAUUCUCCUUCUAGUCCUUUUCUUGAGAUUUUCAAAGUUGUUGUUGAUUCAGGUAUUGCAUAACUGAUUCUACCGUUCCCAUAAUCUUUGGAAACACAGAAGAUCUUCAUCUUAAUAAUCCUAAAGUAAUUUUUUCCUCUAGAAAAAGCUCGUAUAUUACUCCUCUUUCCACUACUUGAAGCAGCCAUGUUUUUUACCCAUGGUUCUCUUCCGUCCUCUUCUCUCUCUUCUAUUCCGGACUUUCUACCGUAAACAUAUCUUGGAACCAGGGUCCAUAACCGGGUUGACUUUUUUCAGGUUUAGAAAACAGUGGAAACUUUUGCAACAAAACCUUAUCAACUCCCGUAGAACAAGAGAGCUUUUUACACAAUUCUGCAACAGUUGAAGCUUCAGAAACAGAUUAUCUACUUCUGAAAAUCUAGACUGUAUUCCUUGUACAAAUUUGAAUCAAAGUAUCUCCGAAUAUUGGUAGUGUACAUCAAUAAAAGAGAGUUAGCUACACUGUAAA